This 468-nucleotide ribosomal RNA is filed under the name uncultured bacterium. RNAcentral's name for it is "partial 16S ribosomal RNA". It matches the Rfam family "Bacterial small subunit ribosomal RNA", at positions 28 to 507 of the family's 1533-position model. The record is from RNAcentral.
GACGAACGCUGGCGGCGUGCUUAACACAUGCAAGUCGAACGGAAAGGCCCUGCUUUUGUGGGGUGCUCGAGUGGCGAACGGGUGAGUAACACGUGAGUAACCUGCCCUUGACUUUGGGAUAACUUCAGGAAACUGGGGCUAAUACCGGCUAGGAGCUCCUGCUGCAUGGUGGGGGCUGGAAAGUUUCGGCGGUUGGUGGUGGACUCGCGGCUUAUCAGCUUGUUGGUGGGGUAGUGGCUUACCAAGGCUUUGACGGGUAGCCGGCCUGGGCGGGUGACCGGCCACAUUGGGACUGAGAUGCGGCCCAGACUCCUACGGGAGGCAGCAGUGGGGAAUAGUGCACAAUGGGCGGAAGCCUGAUGCAGCAACGCCGCGUGCGGGAUGACGGCCUUCGGGUUGUAAACCGCAUUCGCCUGUGACGAAGCGUGAGUGACGGUAAUGGGUAAAGAAGCACCGGCUAACUACGUG